This 537-nucleotide ribosomal RNA is filed under the name uncultured bacterium. RNAcentral's name for it is "bacterial SSU rRNA". It matches the Rfam family "Bacterial small subunit ribosomal RNA", at positions 777 to 1314 of the family's 1533-position model. The record is from RNAcentral.
AAUAGAUACCCCGGUAGUCCACGCCGUAAACGAUGAGUGCUAGGUGUUAGGGGGUUUCCGCCCCUUAGUGCUGCAGCUAACGCAUUAAGCACUCCGCCUGGGGAGUACGGUCGCAAGACUGAAACUCAAAGGAAUUGACGGGGGCCCGCACAAGCGGUGGAGCAUGUGGUUUAAUUCGAAGCAACGCGAAGAACCUUACCAGGUCUUGACAUCCCGCUGACCGCCAUGGAGACAUGGCUUUCCCUUCGGGGACAGCGGUGACAGGUGGUGCAUGGUUGUCGUCAGCUCGUGUCGUGAGAUGUUGGGUUAAGUCCCGCAACGAGCGCAACCCUUGUCCUUAGUUGCCAUCAUUCAGUUGGGCACUCUAAGGAGACUGCCGUACAAAUACGGAGGAAGGUGGGGAUGACGUCAAAUCAUCAUGCCCCUUAUGACCUGGGCUACACACGUGCUACAAUGGGUGGUACAAAGGGCGGCAAACCCGCGAGGGGAGCGAAUCCCAAAAAGCCACUCUCAGUUCGGAUUGCAGGCUGCAACUCG